This 492-nucleotide ribosomal RNA is filed under the name uncultured bacterium. RNAcentral describes it as "partial 16S ribosomal RNA". It matches the Rfam family "Bacterial small subunit ribosomal RNA", at positions 29 to 507 of the family's 1533-position model. The record is from RNAcentral.
AGUGAACGCUGGCGGUAGGCCUAACACAUGCAAGUCGAACGGCAGCACAGUAAGAGCUUGCUCUUACGGGUGGCGAGUGGCGGACGGGUGAGGAAUACAUCGGAAUCUACUUUUUCGUGGGGGAUAACGGAGGGAAACUUACGCUAAUACCGCAUACGACCUACGGGUGAAAGCAGGGGAUCUUCGGACCUUGCGCGAUUGAAUGAGCCGAUGUCGGAUUAGCUAGUUGGCGGGGUAACGGCCCACCAAGGCGACGAUCCGUAGCUGGUCUGAGAGGAUGAUCAGCCACACUGGAACUGAGACACGGUCCAGACUCCUACGGGAGGCAGCAGUGGGGAAUAUUGGACAAUGGGCGCAAGCUUGAUCCAGCAAUGCCGCGUGGGUGAUGAAGGCCUUCGGGUUGUAAAGCCCUUUUGUUGGGAAAGAAAAGAAGCAGGUUAAUCCCCCGCUGUUCUGACGGUACCCAAAGAAUAAGCACCGGCUAACUUCGUG